This 518-nucleotide ribosomal RNA is filed under the name uncultured bacterium. RNAcentral describes it as "partial 16S ribosomal RNA". It matches the Rfam family "Bacterial small subunit ribosomal RNA", at positions 355 to 864 of the family's 1533-position model. The record is from RNAcentral.
UGGGGAAUAUUGGACAAUGGGCGCAAGCCUGAUCCAGCAAUGCCGCGUGUGUGAAGAAGGCCUUCGGGUUGUAAAGCACUUUUAUCAGGAGCGAAACGCUGUCGGCUAAUACCCGGCGGAACUGACGGUACCUGAGGAAUAAGCACCGGCUAACUUCGUGCCAGCAGCCGCGGUAAUACGAAGGGUGCAAGCGUUAAUCGGAAUUACUGGGCGUAAAGCGUGCGUAGGCGGUUUCUUAAGUCUGCUGUGAAAUCCCCGGGCUCAACCUGGGAAUGGCAGUGGAUACUGGGAGGCUAGAGUGUGUCAGAGGGUGGUGGAAUUCCCGGUGUAGCGGUGAAAUGCGUAGAGAUCGGGAGGAACAUCAGUGGCGAAGGCGGCCACCUGGGACAACACUGACGCUGAGGCACGAAAGCGUGGGGAGCAAACAGGAUUAGAUACCCUGGUAGUCCACGCCCUAAACGAUGCGAACUGGAUGUUGGUCUCAACUCGGAGAUCAGUGUCGAAGCUAACGCGUUAAG